RNAcentral lists this transfer RNA (71 nucleotides) under Siphonaria gigas (giant false limpet). RNAcentral describes it as "tRNA-Met". Lineage: Eukaryota; Metazoa; Mollusca; Gastropoda; Siphonariida; Siphonariidae. The record is from RNAcentral.
GAAAAGAUAAGCUAAACACACCAAAGCUAUCGGGCUCAUAACCCGACAAUGGAAUAUAAAUCCUCUUUUUA